Alligator mississippiensis (American alligator) is the source of this 1536-nucleotide long non-coding RNA. RefSeq lists it as uncharacterized. The record is from RefSeq and is a predicted model, not a curated record. NCBI's taxonomy places the organism in Eukaryota, Metazoa, Chordata, Crocodylia, Alligatoridae. The transcript has 3 exons.
CGCCGGGGCCGCGCCGCCCAUUGGCCCGCGCCCCUGUCGCUCCGCUUUCGGGGCCCGCCGCCGCGGCCCCGCCCCCGCGGGAGGCCGGUUUGCGGGACUGGUGCAAAAGGUAGUUAGGCGGGGGAUGCCUCUCCUCGCGUGCAGCGCCCGCCCCGGCUCGGCCCAGUGUGGCGGGCUGUACUGCUUCCCCCCACCUCCCCGCCCGCUGCUCUCCGCCAGUCUCGCAGCGAAGCGGGCUGGCGGGGGCGGGGAGGGCUGAGCCUCCCUCCCUCCCCCCACCGCAAGGCUUUCGCUUCGUGUGCACGCCGCGCUGGCUGAGUGCAGCGGAGCGGGGCCCCACGCGUGACAGCCCUGCCCCGCCCCGCCGCUCGCGCGUGGGGGAGGGGCGCGUUCUAACCGCCAACGCGCGCAGCAUCCCGGGGGGGCGGGGCACGGCUCAGGGUCGGGGGCACCAUCCUGCCCCCUCCCUGGGGGUCUGGGGGCAGCAGCCUUUGCUCCCAGGUGGCUCCUGUGGUGACACCCCCACCGUGUCUCUGCGGGGCAGAGCAGCGCAAGCUUCCCUCUGCGGGGGUCCUAGGGGCCGUGGCUGGGUUUGCCCUGUGGAGCCUGUUGGCCCGCCCCCCCGGGGGUCCCAGCCCUCCUGCCUUUGAAUCGCUGCUGGAAAGCUAAACCCUUCCCCAGGGAGGAAGAAGGAACUGGAGGAAAGCGUUCCCUGUUCACCCAGCGGCAACUCUUCUAACCCACCAAGAAGACUGUUUGAGAUCCUCAGCCAGAAGGAGCAAACAACCAAGCCCCAUCAGGGAAGCCCUUGAGAGAAAGACAGGAUGCUUGAGAGAAGGUCUUGAAAAGGAAGACACCCACCAGAUAUUGGACAGAUACGCAGGAAGAAAAUAAACUGAGAGGUCUGAGAAACAACAGCUGGGGCAGCUUUUCCUGACAGAGACUGCUUGGGCUUCGGGACAGGACUUUGCUUGUUGUAUUGCUGUGGCCCAAUAAAGGUUGUUUUGUCUUAAGAAGAGCUGACUGCUUUCCUGCUUGUGACUUUGGAUGAACUCUGUCCCCUGAAAGAGAAGUGCCUCUCACUGAACUAGAAGGUAAUCUCUGGUUAUCUAACCAGGGAUGUUAUCUCAAGGAAUCUAUACAAGCUACAGGUCCCAAGUCAGCGCUCCCUGGAGAAUCCAUGACAAAUGGAAAAACACCCUAUGACUUUGUUGGGAUUGCAAUUUCCUCUUUCAUGAAGAGUUCAAGAGUAAAGCUUUAUAUACUUUUGUUAACUUUGCAAAUCAGCUGGAAAUGUUGGAACACUUCUUCUUCAUGAGUGCCAAAUAUUUAGCACAUGAUCCUGAAAGCUGCUGAACACCCACAACUCCUACUGAUGUCACCUUACCCUGAAGCUUAAGUAGACUUACCAGCUACUGAAGGGAGCAGCAGGGGGCCACAUUACUCAAGAUCAAGCCAACAGAUUUAAUGGAAGUUUUUAUGCCACAGUGGGUCAGUGUGCCUAGGGAUUCAUUAUUCUUUACAUGGAGGCUUUUA